UUUUCGCAAUGCCCGAAAGGGUGACGAAGCGACGCCGCGUGAGCGAAGAAGGCCCUAGGGUUGUAAAGCUCUGUCGGGGGUUAUGAAAUGUAGAUCGGUUAAUACCCGGUUUAUUUGACAAAGGCCCCAAAGGAAGCCACGGCUAACUCUGUGCCAGCAGCCGCGGUAAUACAGAGGUGGCAAGCGUUGUUCGGUAUUAUUGGGCGUAAAGAGCACGUAGGUGGUUCUGUAAGUCAGAUGUGAAAGCCUUCUGUUCAAAGGAAGAACGGCAUCUGAAACUACAGAUCUUGAGUGUAGGAGGGGAGAGUGGAACUUCUGGUGGAGCGGUGAAAUGCGUAGAUAUCAGAAGGAACGUCGGCGGCGAAAGCGACUCUCUGGCCUAUUACUGACACUGAGUGUGCGAAAGUUAGGGGAGCAAACGGGAUUAGAUACCCCGGUAGUCCUAACUGUAAACGAUGGGCACUAAGUAGAGGGGUUUUA
This 480-nucleotide ribosomal RNA is filed under the name uncultured anaerobic ammonium-oxidizing bacterium. RNAcentral describes it as "bacterial SSU rRNA". It matches the Rfam family "Bacterial small subunit ribosomal RNA", at positions 363 to 833 of the family's 1533-position model. The record is from RNAcentral.